This 22-nucleotide ribosomal RNA is filed under the name Populus trichocarpa (black cottonwood). Lineage: Eukaryota; Viridiplantae; Streptophyta; Magnoliopsida; Malpighiales; Salicaceae. RNAcentral also lists the same sequence under 1 other name. The record is from RNAcentral.
GGUGCGAUCAUACCAGCACUAA